GGUGCCAUAGCACAGCUGGUUACUGCGGUCGGUUCAUACCCGACAGAUCACUAGUUCGAAUCUAGUUGGCACCACCA
Molecule: transfer RNA, 77 nt
Filed under: Christensenellaceae bacterium
Lineage: Bacteria; Bacillati; Bacillota; Clostridia; Christensenellales; Christensenellaceae
Description: tRNA-Met
Rfam family: tRNA
About the family: Transfer RNA (tRNA) molecules are approximately 80 nucleotides in length. Their secondary structure includes four short double-helical elements and three loops (D, anti-codon, and T loops).
Source: RNAcentral